RNAcentral lists this long non-coding RNA (994 nucleotides) under Anser cygnoides (Swan goose). Its description in RNAcentral is "lncRNA (ENSACDG00005013911.1)". Lineage: Eukaryota; Metazoa; Chordata; Aves; Anseriformes; Anatidae. The record is from RNAcentral.
CUCAUUUCAUAUGUUGUUUUGUGAAGCUGAAAUAAUAAGACAUUUACAUUUCCCUGAUAGGUAGAACUAAUAACACAAUAUUACAGGAUCCUGGUACUAAAUUGAUAGUGACUUUGACAUAUUGCAUAAUCUAAGCUUUUUAGUCCGAAUUACAUUCACUUGAUCUGAACAUGCUCUUUUUCAAUUAGCUUCCUCCUCCACCCCAGCAGGCUUGCUUGGGUGUCUUCUUUGCAGUGCUCCCUUUCGUCCCAGAACCCAUUGGGUGAGGCUCCUUAGUAUUAGGACCUGUGAGAAGGUGUUACACAGUAGGUGACUGCUGGGCUGUGCGUUGGUUCUCACUGAGCCUACUUGGGAAUGGAAACUCCAGAUUCUUUGCUGCUGCUGCUUUCGAAGGAAAUGUUGGACAGCCUACAUCCUGCAACAUUACUAAUCAGCAGCAGGAUGAAAAGAAUAUUGAAAAAGUUGUAUCAACGAAAAUCACCAAAUCUGGACUACCAAGAAGAGAAACUCCCCCAAAGUAAUCCUUCAUAGACUGUCUUGGACACUUGGAAGAAAACAAACAAACAAACAAAAAAACCAGAACAACAACAAUCCCUAAUCACAACCUCACGAUCAGAACUGCCUAAUCAAUUUCCUUUGAAGAGUUUGCAAGCAACAGGCACUACUUUUAGUGCUUGAACUGCAAGUGAAAUGAGUUAUAAACAAGACUUGAACAAAAGUGGAGUUGAUAAAUUUAUUUUCAUUACCCAUUAAAAAAGACACACAAAAACAAACAAGCAAGGUAAUUUUUAAAAUCUUAACCUAACUCCCUUUUACUUUAUCUCUUUAUAUCUUUUUAAAAAUGCUUAAAUUAAUAGUUACCUAAGAAGCUCUGUAAGUGUAAUAUUACACUGUAACUGUAAUCUUGACCACUUGCUUAGUAUUAAGAAAUCAUUGCUUAAAUGGUUCUAUUAUUCAAAAUAAAUGGAUAUUUUCAGUAGUUUAGAUAUACUGU